RNAcentral lists this transfer RNA (76 nucleotides) under Dickeya solani. RNAcentral describes it as "tRNA-Ile". It matches the Rfam family "tRNA". Rfam says of the family: Transfer RNA (tRNA) molecules are approximately 80 nucleotides in length. Their secondary structure includes four short double-helical elements and three loops (D, anti-codon, and T loops). Further hydrogen bonds mediate the characteristic L-shaped molecular structure. tRNAs have two regions of fundamental functional importance: the anti-codon, which is responsible for specific mRNA codon recognition, and the 3' end, to which the tRNAs corresponding amino acid is attached (by aminoacyl-tRNA synthetases). tRNAs cope with the degeneracy of the genetic code in two manners: having more than one tRNA (with a specific anti-codon) for a particular amino acid; and 'wobble' base-pairing, i.e. permitting non-standard base-pairing at the 3rd anti-codon position. Lineage: Bacteria; Pseudomonadati; Pseudomonadota; Gammaproteobacteria; Enterobacterales; Pectobacteriaceae. The record is from RNAcentral.
GCUGAUAUAGCUCAGUUGGUAGAGCGCACCCCUGAUAAGGGUGAGGUCGGUGGUUCGAAUCUGCCACUCAGCACCA